Molecule: ribosomal RNA, 479 nt
Filed under: uncultured bacterium
Lineage: Bacteria
Description: bacterial SSU rRNA
Rfam family: Bacterial small subunit ribosomal RNA
Source: RNAcentral
GAGUUUGAUCAUGGCUCAGAUUGAACGCUGGCGGCAUGCCUUACACAUGCAAGUCGAACGGCAGCACGGGGGCAACCCUGGUGGCGAGUGGCGAACGGGUGAGUAACAUAUCGGAACAUACCCUAGAGUGGGGGAUAACGUAGCGAAAGUUACGCUAAUACCGCAUACGAUCUAAGGAUGAAAGUGGGGGGAUCUUCGGACCUCAUGCUCAUGGAGUGGCCGAUAUCUGAUUAGCUAGUUGGUGAGGUAAAGGCUCACCAAGCCGACGAUCGGUAGCUGGUCUGAGAGGAUGAUCAGCCACACUGGGACUGAGAUACGGCCCAGACUCCUACGGGAGGCAGCAGUGGGGAAUAUUGGACAAUGGGGGCAACCCUGAUCCAGCAAUGCCGCGUGAGUGAUGAAGGCCUUAGGGUUGUAAAGCUCUUUUGCCAGGGAAGAUGAUGACUGUACCUGGAGAAUAAGCCCCGGCUAACUUCGUG